Molecule: ribosomal RNA, 445 nt
Filed under: uncultured bacterium
Lineage: Bacteria
Description: partial 16S ribosomal RNA
Rfam family: Bacterial small subunit ribosomal RNA
Source: RNAcentral
GUGAGGAAUAUUGGUCAAUGGACGGAAGUCUGAACCAGCCAUGCCGCGUGCAGGAAUAAGGUCCUAUGGAUUGUAAACUGCUUUUAUUCGGGAAUAAACCUCUUUACGUGUAGGGAGCUGAAGGUACCGAAGGAAUAAGCACCGGCUAACUCCGUGCCAGCAGCCGCGGUAAUACGGAGGGUGCAAGCGUUAUCCGGAAUCAUUGGGUUUAAAGGGUCCGCAGGCGGUCUUAUAAGUCAGUGGUGAAAGCCUACAGCUCAACUGUAGAACUGCCAUUGAUACUGUAGGACUUGAAUUCGAUCGAAGUGGGCGGAAUGUGACAUGUAGCGGUGAAAUGCUUAGAUAUGUCACAGAACACCGAUAGCGAAGGCAGCUCACUAGGUCUGGAUUGACGCUCAGGGACGAAAGCGUGGGGAGCAAACAGGAUUAGAAACCCCAGUAGUCC